AGAGUUUGAUCAUGGCUCAGAACGAACGCUGGCGGCAGGCCUAACACAUGCAAGUCGAGCGCCCAGCAAUGGGAGCGGCGGACGGGUGAGUAACGCGUGGGAAUAUGCCUUUCGGUUCGGAACAACUCAGGGAAACUUGAGCUAAUUCCGGAUACGCCCUUACGGGGAAAGAUUUAUCGCCGAAAGAUUAGCCCGCGUUGGAUUAGCUUGUUGGUGAGGUAACGGCUCACCAAGGCAACGAUCCAUAGCUGGUUUGAGAGAACGACCAGCCACACUGGGACUGAGACACGGCCCAGACUCCUACGGGAGGCAGCAGUGGGGAAUCUUGGACAAUGGAGGAAACUCUGAUCCAGCCAUGCCGCGUGAGUGAUGAAGGCCUUCGGGUUGUAAAACUCUUUUACCCGGGAAGAUAAUGACUGUACCGGGAGAAUAAGCUCCGGCUAACUUCGUGCCAGCAGCCGCGGUAAUACGAAGGGGGCUAGCGUUGUUCGGAAUUACUGGGCGUAAAGCGCGCGCAGGCGGCUUCUCAAGUCAGGGGUGAAAGCCCAGAGCUCAACUCUGGAAUUGCCUUUGAAACUGUGAAGCUUGAGUACGGGAGAGGUGAGUGGAAUUCCCAGUGUAGAGGUGAAAUUCGUAGAUAUUGGGAAGAACACCGGUGGCGAAAGCGGCUCACUGGCCCGUUUCUGACGCUCACGCGCGACAGCGUGGGGAUCAAACAGGAUUAGAUACCCUGGUAGUCCACGCCGUAAACUAUGAACGCUAGCCGUUGGCGGGCUUGCUCGUCAGUGGCGCAGCUAACGCAUUAAGCGUUCCGCCUGGGGAGUACGGCCGCAAGGUUGAAACUCAAAGAAAUGACGGGGGCCCGCACAGCGGUGGAGCAUGUGUUUAAUUCGACGCAACGCGCAGAACCUUACCAGGGUUUGAC
RNAcentral lists this ribosomal RNA (925 nucleotides) under uncultured bacterium. RNAcentral describes it as "bacterial SSU rRNA". It matches the Rfam family "Bacterial small subunit ribosomal RNA", at positions 8 to 985 of the family's 1533-position model. The record is from RNAcentral.